CCUGGGUGACAUUCACCUCAAAAAGAAAAGAAAAGAAUCCAGGCCUGUAGAAGGAUUUCUUGAGCCCAGGAAUUCUGUAGUGUGUCGUGCCAAUAGUGUAUCUGCACUAAUUCGGCAUCAAUAUGGUGACCUCCUGGGAGCAGGGGACCACCAGGUUGCCUAAGGAGUGACCAACAAGCCCAGGUCAGAAACAGAGCAGGUGGAAACUACUGUGCUGAUCAGUGGUGGGCUCACAACUGUGAAUAGCCACUGCCCCUCCAGCCUGGGCAACAUAACGAGAGUCUUUCUAU
Molecule: unclassified non-coding RNA, 290 nt
Organism: Cercocebus atys (sooty mangabey)
Lineage: Eukaryota; Metazoa; Chordata; Mammalia; Primates; Cercopithecidae
Rfam family: Metazoan signal recognition particle RNA
About the family: The signal recognition particle (SRP) is a universally conserved ribonucleoprotein. It is involved in the co-translational targeting of proteins to membranes. The eukaryotic SRP consists of a 300-nucleotide 7S RNA and six proteins: SRPs 72, 68, 54, 19, 14, and 9.
Source: Ensembl